This 1078-nucleotide long non-coding RNA is filed under the name Homo sapiens (human). RNAcentral's name for it is "HSALNT0212664". The record is from RNAcentral. Lineage: Eukaryota; Metazoa; Chordata; Mammalia; Primates; Hominidae.
CUGGCCGUGGGCAGCCGCGCGUUGCUCCAGCAGCAGGAGCUCCUCCUGGUGCCGCGCCAGCAUGAGCGCCGCGAUCUUCCGGUCACGCUCCGGCACCCCGCGCAGGCCGCGCUCUGCACGCACUUGACGCACGAUGCGCUCCACGUGCUGAGCGGUCUGCGGCGAAUGGCUCAGGUCGCCGAGGCUGAAGCUGCGGCCGGUGAUCGGAACCAGGGUCAGGGCAGACGGGCGGCCCGGAGCGUUGGUGGUGGAGGACGCCGACCCCGCUGGGCAGCUGUUCCUGGCCGAGGCCCGAGGCGGCCAGCGCAGCUCCCUCAAGCUUUCCCCACUGUAGGAUGACGACGAUGCGCCCGACUCGGAGCUGAGGGCGCCCUCACGCCGGCGGGACAGUGAGUCCAGCGAAUGGCUCUUCCUGCCUGUUCGAGAACCCGCUGGCGGAGGUUGAAAAGACGCCGCUUCUCCUCGCGCAUGAUGCGCUCGCGCUCGGCCCGGCAUUGCUGCAGCUUGGCGCGCCGCUCCGCCUCGUAGGCCUCAUACAGGCCGGUGGCCACCCGCAUGGAGCGGCCCGGAGCCUCUCGCACCAGGUCGGCCAGGGCCCGUGGCAGCAGCUCCACCGGCUUGACCGCACAGCGGGCGCAGGCCUCUAGCGAGCGGGGGCUGGUCAGCACGUAGCGGCUGCCCUCCGCCUCUGGGCAGUCGAAGUUGAAGAGGUCGAGGUGCAGCAGCGGGGACUGCUCCCGCCGCCCGCCUUCUGCGCCUGGGAAUCAGGGGGCACGGACGCCACGGCCUCGUCCCCUCCAGAGUCGCCGGGUUCCGCUCCUGCCUUCUCUUCUUCAGGCACUGGGUCCACCAUGGCUGAGCCCCGUCCUUUGUUGGAACUGAGAGCUCUUCCCCCCUCCUCAUCCAUAGUCACCCCAUCCCAACUUAAUCCGCUUUCGGAUUAGGCUCAGAGGCUUUGGUGGAACGUAAAUCAUAAAACCGAUGUAGGGAGGCGCUGGAGGAUUCCCGGGAGGAUUAGCGUAUUUGUUUGUAGCUUAGGCGGGCUACUGGGGAUGCAGCUUUGCAGGAACAAAAAAGC